RNAcentral lists this unclassified non-coding RNA (264 nucleotides) under Hevea brasiliensis (rubber tree). Lineage: Eukaryota; Viridiplantae; Streptophyta; Magnoliopsida; Malpighiales; Euphorbiaceae. The record is from RNAcentral.
GCAGAACUUGGCUGCCUUCUCAAAGGCGUCAGAGCCUCCUGGGAUGUCGGAGAGGUCGAUGGCAGAGAGGUCAGGUGGGUCUGAUUCGACGAGUUUUCGCCGUAGGUAGCCACUCUUUGAGACUAUGAGAAACUUGUGGAGAGGGAACUUGGCAUCGCCGACUUGGACGACAACAUCAGUAGGGAUCUCUUGAGAGAAAACCCACUGCAAGGUUCUGUUCAUGGAUGAUGAGAAACGAGAACUUGUGGAUAGAGAGGACAUGAA